UACGUAGGUGGCGAGCGUGUCCGGAUUAUUGGGCGUAAAGAGCUCGUAGGCGGCCUGUUACGUCUGCUGUGAAAUCCCGGGGCUUAACCCCGGGCGUGCAGUGGAUACGGGCAGGCUGGAGGCAGGCAGGGGAGAACGGAAUUCCCGGUGUAGCGGUGAAAUGCGCAGAUAUCAGGAGGAACACCGACGGCGAAGGCAGGUCUCUGGGCCACUACUGACGCUGAGAAGCGAAAGCAUGGGGAGCGAACAGG
This 251-nucleotide ribosomal RNA is filed under the name uncultured bacterium. Its description in RNAcentral is "partial 16S ribosomal RNA". It matches the Rfam family "Bacterial small subunit ribosomal RNA", at positions 524 to 776 of the family's 1533-position model. The record is from RNAcentral.